This 532-nucleotide ribosomal RNA is filed under the name [Candida] sp. Levazot23. Its description in RNAcentral is "SSU rRNA". It matches the Rfam family "Eukaryotic small subunit ribosomal RNA", at positions 905 to 1464 of the family's 1831-position model. The record is from RNAcentral. Lineage: Eukaryota; Fungi; Ascomycota; Saccharomycetes; Saccharomycetales.
UCAGAGGUGAAAUUCUUGGAUUGACUGAAGACUAACUACUGCGAAAGCAUUUGCCAAGGACGUUUUCAUUAAUCAAGAACGAAAGUUAGGGGAUCGAAGAUGAUCAGAUACCGUCGUAGUCUUAACCAUAAACUAUGCCGACUAGGGAUCGGGUGGUGCUACUUUGCCCACUCGGCACCUUACGAGAAAUCAAAGUUUUUGGGUUCUGGGGGGAGUAUGGUCGCAAGGCUGAAACUUAAAGGAAUUGACGGAAGGGCACCACCAGGAGUGGAGCCUGCGGCUUAAUUUGACUCAACACGGGGAAACUCACCAGGUCCAGACGUAAUAAGGAUUGACAAGUUAGAGACUUCUCUUGAUCUUACGGGUGGUGGUGCAUGGCCGUUUUUAGUCCUUGGAGUGAUUUGUCUGCUUAAUUGCGAUAACGGACGAGACCUUAACCUGCUAAAUAGGGCUGCGAGCAUCUGCUCGGGUGCUCUUCUUAGAGGGACUAUGGGUAUCAAACCCAUGGAAGUUUGAGGCAACAACAGGUCUG